RNAcentral lists this RNase P RNA (369 nucleotides) under Rhodohalobacter barkolensis. RNAcentral describes it as "Bacterial RNase P class A". It matches the Rfam family "Bacterial RNase P class A". From Rfam's summary of the family: Ribonuclease P (RNase P) is a ubiquitous endoribonuclease, found in archaea, bacteria and eukarya as well as chloroplasts and mitochondria. The record is from Rfam by way of RNAcentral. Lineage: Bacteria; Pseudomonadati; Balneolota; Balneolia; Balneolales; Balneolaceae.
GAAGAUUUCCGGGCAAUCGCUUCCCGACGUGUCGGGAAGAGGAAAGUCCGAACACCAACGAGAACCGUGCUUCCUAACAGGAAGGUCUCUUUUUUAAAGAGGACAGAAAGUGCCACAGAAAACAGACAGCCUUUCCGGUUUAGCCGGACGGGUGAUGGUGAAAAGGUGAGGUAAGAGCUCACCGCCCCCACGGUGACGUCGGGGGGCAGGGUAAACCUCACGGGGUGCAAGUUCACGCAGGCUGUGCGCCUCUCGUCGCUAUACAGCCGGGUAGAACGCUUGAGCUUCGGAGCGAUCCGGAGCCUAGACAAAUGAUUGUCAUCCCGAUUUAUCGGGACACAGAAUUCGGCUUACAGGAAAUCUUUACGA